RNAcentral lists this unclassified non-coding RNA (231 nucleotides) under Erodium sebaceum. RNAcentral's name for it is "partial internal transcribed spacer 2". The record is from RNAcentral. Lineage: Eukaryota; Viridiplantae; Streptophyta; Magnoliopsida; Geraniales; Geraniaceae.
GAUCCGUCGCCCCGCAACCCGAACCCCCUCGGGGCGUCUCGGUCGCUUGCGGUGCGGAUAAUGGUCUCCCGUGGGCACGUCCCGCGGCUGGCAUAAAUACGAGUCCCGUGUGCACCUAGCCGCGGCCGACGGUGGUUGAGAAGCCUUCGGAAAACAGCCGCGGUCAGGUCGCCCGCUUUGGGACCCCGUGACCCUCGCGCGACUUCUCCCCUUGGGGGGAAGGAGCUCAUU